This is a long non-coding RNA of Rana temporaria (common frog), 3525 nucleotides long. RefSeq lists it as uncharacterized. NCBI's taxonomy places the organism in Eukaryota, Metazoa, Chordata, Amphibia, Anura, Ranidae. The transcript has 37 exons. The record is from RefSeq and is a predicted model, not a curated record.
CAAGCAUGAUGGAAUCCCUUCUCUUGUCCGGCAGCAUUAGUGGAUGCUGGCGAGAUGACCAUCAAGGCUGAAGUAUGGCAACAGUGUGCUGUUUGAGAGUAAACGGAGAGACAAGUUGCAAUUGAAAAUAUUAUCUUUUCCAUUAUUGGAAGCCUUGACCACUUCAAGCAAGUUGAAGGCAGAACACUCCAAGCAUGAUGGAAUCCCUUCUCUUGUCCGGCAGCAUUCGUGGAUGCUGGCGAGAUGACCAUCAAGGCUGAAGUAUGGCAACAGUGUGCUGUUUGAGAGUAAACGGAGAGACAAGUUGCAAUUGAAAAUAUUAUCUUUUCCAUUAUUGGAAGCCUUGACCACUUCAAGCAAGUUGAAGGCAGAACACUCCAAGCAUGAUGGAAUCCCUUCUCUUGUCCGGCAGCAUUAGUGGAUGCUGGCGAGAUGACCAUCAAGGCUGAAGUAUGGCAACAGUGUGCUGUUUGAGAGUAAACGGAGAGACAUGUUGCCAUUGAAAAUGUUAUCUUUUCCAUUAUUGGAAGCCUUGACCACUUCAAGCAAGUUGAAGGCUGAACACUCCAAGCAUGAUGGAAUCCAUUCUCUUGCCUGCAGCAUUAGUGGAUGCUGGCGAAAUGACCAUCAAGGCUGAAGUAUGGCAACACUGUGCUGUUUGAGAGUAAACUGAGAGACAAGUUGCAAUUGAAAAUAUUAUCUUUUCCAUUAUUGGAAGCCUUGACCACUUCAAGCAAGUUGAAGGCAGAACACUCCAAGCAUGAUGGAAUCCCUUCUCUUGUCCGGCAGCAUUAGUGGAUGCUGGCGAGAUGACCAUCAAGGCUGAAGUAUGGCAACAGUGUGCUGUUUGAGAGUAAACGGAGAGACAUGUUGCCAUUGAAAAUGUUAUCUUUUCCAUUAUUGGAAGCCUUGACCACUUCAAGCAAGUUGAAGGCUGAACACUCCAAGCAUGAUGGAAUCCAUUCUCUUGCCUGCAGCAUUAGUGGAUGCUGGCGAAAUGACCAUCAAGGCUGAAGUAUGGCAACACUGUGCUGUUUGAGAGUAAACUGAGAGACAAGUUGCAAUUGAAAAUAUUAUCUUUUCCAUUAUUGGAAGCCUUGACCACUUCAAGCAAGUUGAAGGCAGAACACUCCAAGCAUGAUGCAAUCCCUUCUCUUGAUCGGCAGCAUUAGUGGAUGCUGGCGAGAUGACCAUCAAGGCUGAAGUAUGGCAACAGUGUGCUGUUUGAGAGUAAACGGAGAGACAAGUUGCAAUUGAAAAUAUUAUCUUUUCCAUUAUUGGAAGCCUUGACCACUUCAAGCAAGUUGAAGGCAGAACACUCCAAGCAUGAUGGAAUCCCUUCUCUUGUCCGGCAGCAUUCGUGGAUGCUGGCGAGAUGACCAUCAAGGCUGAAGUAUGGCAACAGUGUGCUGUUUGAGAGUAAACGGAGAGACAUGUUGCCAUUGAAAAUGUUAUCUUUUCCAUUAUUGGAAGCCUUGACCACUUCAAGCAAGUUGAAGGCUGAACACUCCAAGCAUGAUGGAAUCCAUUCUCUUGCCUGCAGCAUUAGUGGAUGCUGGCGAAAUGACCAUCAAGGCUGAAGUAUGGCAACACUGUGCUGUUUGAGAGUAAACUGAGAGACAAGUUGCAAUUGAAAAUAUUAUCUUUUCCAUUAUUGGAAGCCUUGACCACUUCAAGCAAGUUGAAGGCAGAACACUCCAAGCAUGAUGGAAUCCCUUCUCUUGUCCGGCAGCAUUAGUGGAUGCUGGCGAGAUGACCAUCAAGGCUGAAGUAUGGCAACAGUGUGCUGUUUGAGAGUAAACGGAGAGACAAGUUGCAAUUGAAAAUAUUAUCUUUUCCAUUAUUGGAAGCCUUGACCACUUCAAGCAAGUUGAAGGCAGAACACUCCAAGCAUGAUGGAAUCCCUUCUCUUGUCCGGCAGCAUUAGUGGAUGCUGGCGAGAUGACCAUCAAGGCUGAAGUAUGGCAACAGUGUGCUGUUUGAGAGUAAACGGAGAGACAUGUUGCCAUUGAAAAUGUUAUCUUUUCCAUUAUUGGAAGCCUUGACCACUUCAAGCAAGUUGAAGGCUGAACACUCCAAGCAUGAUGGAAUCCAUUCUCUUGCCUGCAGCAUUAGUGGAUGCUGGCGAAAUGACCAUCAAGGCUGAAGUAUGGCAACACUGUGCUGUUUGAGAGUAAACUGAGAGACAAGUUGCAAUUGAAAAUAUUAUCUUUUCCAUUAUUGGAAGCCUUGACCACUUCAAGCAAGUUGAAGGCAGAACACUCCAAGCAUGAUGGAAUCCCUUCUCUUGUCCGGCAGCAUUAGUGGAUGCUGGCGAGAUGACCAUCAAGGCUGAAGUAUGGCAACAGUGUGCUGUUUGAGAGUAAACGGAGAGACAAGUUGCAAUUGAAAAUAUUAUCUUUUCCAUUAUUGGAAGCCUUGACCACUUCAAGCAAGUUGAAGGCAGAACACUCCAAGCAUGAUGGAAUCCCUUCUCUUGUCCGGCAGCAUUCGUGGAUGCUGGCGAGAUGACCAUCAAGGCUGAAGUAUGGCAACAGUGUGCUGUUUGAGAGUAAACGGAGAGACAUGUUGCCAUUGAAAAUGUUAUCUUUUCCAUUAUUGGAAGCCUUGACCACUUCAAGCAAGUUGAAGGCUGAACACUCCAAGCAUGAUGGAAUCCAUUCUCUUGCCUGCAGCAUUAGUGGAUGCUGGCGAAAUGACCAUCAAGGCUGAAGUAUGGCAACACUGUGCUGUUUGAGAGUAAACUGAGAGACAAGUUGCAAUUGAAAAUAUUAUCUUUUCCAUUAUUGGAAGCCUUGACCACUUCAAGCAAGUUGAAGGCAGAACACUCCAAGCAUGAUGGAAUCCCUUCUCUUGUCCGGCAGCAUUAGUGGAUGCUGGCGAGAUGACCAUCAAGGCUGAAGUAUGGCAACAGUGUGCUGUUUGAGAGUAAACGGAGAGACAAGUUGCAAUUGAAAAUAUUAUCUUUUCCAUUAUUGGAAGCCUUGACCACUUCAAGCAAGUUGAAGGCAGAACACUCCAAGCAUGAUGGAAUCCCUUCUCUUGUCCGGCAGCAUUCGUGGAUGCUGGCGAGAUGACCAUCAAGGCUGAAGUAUGGCAACAGUGUGCUGUUUGAGAGUAAACGGAGAGACAAGUUGCAAUUGAAAAUAUUAUCUUUUCCAUUAUUGGAAGCCUUGACCACUUCAAGCAAGUUGAAGGCAGAACACUCCAAGCAUGAUGGAAUCCCUUCUCUUGUCCGGCAGCAUUCGUGGAUGCUGGCGAGAUGACCAUCAAGGCUGAAGUAUGGCAACAUUGUGCUGUUUGAGAGUAAACAGAGAGACAUGUUGCCAUUGAAAAUGUUAUCUUUUCCAUUAUUGGAAGCCUUGACCACUUCAAGCAAGUUGAAGGCUGAACACUCCAAGCAUGAUGGAAUCCAUUCUCUUGCCUGCAGCAUUAGUGGAUGGUGGGUACCAAGAAAACGCAUUAGGAUGAUGGUCCAGCUUGGUUUGCUAGGUUUCACCAGAGUUAUGAGCUUUAAUUCUAACU